Non-coding RNA from Meleagris gallopavo (turkey), 377 nucleotides. The record is from RefSeq and is a predicted model, not a curated record. Lineage: Eukaryota; Metazoa; Chordata; Aves; Galliformes; Phasianidae.
CUGGCUGUGCCUUGGCGUCCCAGGCCCUUUGCAAUGGCGGCAGCGUCAGGGGACCCCUGUAAGCAGGGAAGUUGACCCUUUGGUCGCUGCUUUUGGUGUGCCCAGCUCCAUUUGCCCAGUCUGCCCGCCUCUGUGACCCUCCGCAGCACCGGCUGGAGUUCCGCAGCGCAUCGGCGUGGGAGCUGCUGCAGCAAAGGAAGAAGCAGCAAGUGGAACCGGGAGGCAACAGCGAGCAAGAAGAACAAUCUGCUUGUUUUCUGUCUAUGUAUGUAUCUUUGGUGUCUUUUCAUUUCUUUUUCAUCGUAUGUCUAAUGUGGAAUUUUUCCUCGCUUUAUGAUUUUUCAAAAUAAAAUUUGUUGCUUUUUGUUCAAACGGUA